GACGUUGUGGCUGAGUGGUUAAGGCGCUAGUCUAGAAAACUAGUGGGGUUUCCCCUCAUGGGUUCGAAUCCCAUCGACGUCG
Molecule: transfer RNA, 82 nt
Filed under: Hepatospora eriocheir
Lineage: Eukaryota; Fungi; Microsporidia; Hepatosporidae
Rfam family: tRNA
About the family: Transfer RNA (tRNA) molecules are approximately 80 nucleotides in length. Their secondary structure includes four short double-helical elements and three loops (D, anti-codon, and T loops).
Source: Rfam by way of RNAcentral